Molecule: long non-coding RNA, 5412 nt
Organism: Etheostoma spectabile (orangethroat darter)
Lineage: Eukaryota; Metazoa; Chordata; Actinopteri; Perciformes; Percidae
Exons: 2
Source: RefSeq, a predicted model, not a curated record
CAUAGACUAUCGGAUCGGUGAACCAGCCCACCCCGUGAUCACGUCAGUUUCACCCGAGUCAACUAUGGGCACACCAUCCGCUUUGACAGUUGCUUAACAGACCGGCCCUAUCGCUUUAACUCAAUUACGCAUAUGGUUGGUGAUAUGUAGUAAAGCCGCUAUUAGAUCUAAUCUACGUUCAAAUGGACAAUAAUCAGACAGGAUCUGCAGUAUAAAGAGAAGGCUUGAUUCUUGCCCUGGGUCGGUGCCAACCCUACCCUCCUCUGGCCCGGCUCGGCCCGGCCUGCUAACCUGGUCAGGCUGGCCAGCCCCGGGGAGGCGCGUCAGAGCGCAGCUGUGUGUGUGCUCACACCGAGGGGAGCGGUGUGUGCGUGCCACUCAGCACCGGCCAAUCUCAGUCAGUGACACAGAUAUAUGACAGGGCUAAGCUAUCGGGAGCUAACGUCAUGCUCGCUUGACACAUUUUCUGCUUGGCUAGUGAGGAGACAUUUAGCGAGGAUAUGUAACCCACACUGGGCCUGGUGCAUGCAGAAAAGGUAGUACAUCUCAUCCUGGCUGUACACAGAGGCCUGGCUCUUACUGGGGCUGCUGAAAUACUUGGCCAUCUGACUUGGGUUGUUCUGGUCCUCUUCAAACUGCCGCCACUGGGUCAGCUGCGUGAAGGUGAAACAGCAUGUCAUGCUAACUUUUAGCUGUAGAUACAUUACACACACCAGUAGGAAAUGUAACCACGGUCAUUUGACACAGGGCCCUUGACCAGGUGUGUUUGAGCGUAUUGCUCACGACCCAGGUAUUUCCUUCCUUUCCACUGAAGAUGCAUUCCUUAUUGUAACAUAAACCCACUGCCAGACAGGUAGAGAGCCAUAAAACUGUUUGCAACAUCCUUUGUAGUUUUGACUCAUUCACACCUUCCGUGUGAGUCACAAUCCACUGAUAGACAUGUCAAAUUGUCACGCAUACAGAACAGAGGUGUGGGCACCAUAGUCACUGAUAGAAUUACUGCUUUUGUCAAAUCAAAGAGAGAAAGUCAUACAUCUGUCAUGUAUCUGUCUAUCUAGAGUUUUAGUCUGGUUGACUGUUUUUCCAUGUUUUCAGACAUAGUAUCUUAUAAUUAGAUGACAAUCCCCCUCCGUAGUGGUUUCUGCUUUAGAGAUACUCCAAAAGUGCCAGUGUCAUCAUUACCAAAAACAAGCAGAUGUCAGAGGAUAAAGAAGAAAUCUUGCACUUUAUCCAAAGCUUGCAACUAUAAACUUUUUUAGUUUUUGUUUGAUGCAUUUUGUAUGUGUGUCUUGAGUCAUUUUCCCUACCUGAGGCACAAACAGCAUGCAGUUGGUGGCAAGUGUGCAGAUGAAAAUGGCUCCAGCCACAGUGCUGUAGACAAGGUUGGGCCACGCCUGCAGAAAGAUGGACACAGGGACGGCCACCGCCGAAAAGAGGGUGACCAAAGUGACGGUUGUUAUGAUGGUGGGAGACUGGUUGACGGGAGGGUGGCUGACGUUGCUGGUCAGACCAGCUAGAUAAGUCCCAUAGAGGAGAAGACAACCCUAAGGAGAAAUGCGGGGACAAAGUAAACACAAAGGCCACAGAAAAUGUUAAUCAACAAAUCCAUAACAAGAAGGAACUCAAAGCAGUCUUUUUAAUUUUUUUCAUAAUUUCAAUAGAAUAGAGAUUACUUACCUUCUGAACAGCAAUGAUGAUAACCCAAAGAUCUGAGUAUACAGAGGAACAGGUGUCCAGCUGAGUCAAAGAGUAGGAAAUGUCUCUCUCCACCACCUAGAUCAGGAAAAACUGUAUCAUAGCUGAAACCUGAAUAUAUUUGGCUAUUCAUGAACAAGUCUAUAAUUAAAGCCAUAGUGCAUAGUUUCUGCCGCACCCCUGAGGAAUUCUUAGUAAUGACAACAAAACUGUUACCGCGUCCACAUGAUACAAGCCUUCCGUGACCAAGCGUAAACUGUUCUGAAAUCAAACAAAACAACCUGUUUUACAACUUGCUUUUCGGCUCCAAUUAAAUUCUACCUUGACAACAGCUCCGACAGAUCGUGAACACCGGAUGGGAUCUGUGAGGUUCCAGGCGGUGAGAACCAGCAUGUCCACCAUGAUCAACAGAGCCACCAUACCCAUCAGCUGGAUGUCUCUGAUGAUCUGAGACAGAAAAUAAAGUCACCAAUCAUGUCACUGUCAUACAGCUACCAAACAAAUUUAAUAAUUGUUUAGCAUUUUCAUCCAUAUCACUGGAAGACACCAGUUAGGAUACACUGUAAGGCUUUUAUGGAAGUGAUUCAUAAAAGAAAGUUCUAGAAAGGACAUAUAAGCAUGCAAUAAGGCUUGGGAAUGCUCUAAAUUGGUAAAUCCUCAAAAAUCAAUACAAAAUAAAAAUACAAAAAUAUUGGGAUAUAUGUGCCAGAAUUAUUUUUUUCUAAAUGACAGCAGUAGUUAGUGAAGAUUUUUUUUAAAAAUUUUUUCAAAUGAAUCCAAACCAAAAGCAAACAACUUUGGCCCAUGGCCUAAAUCUUCCCUGAUAUCUCAUAAGAUUAUUUUUGGAUAUCCUGUAAACUCUUAAAGAAACAUAGACACAAACAAGUGACAAAAUAUGGCAUCCUAGGUGGAUGGAAUAAGUAGAAGAUUUCACACACAACCACCAGGAGGCAGGGGGAGCAUGCCUACCACUCUCUUGUCAGGUACUCGCUGGGUGAACACUCUGUACAGUCUCCACGUCUUCCCCAAAAUUGGACCAAACACCAGAGUACUGCCGACACAAAGAGUCCACACCCGAGCCUGUAGGAAAGAGCGCUACAUUAUUAUCCAACAUUGAUUUAUUUAAGAAUAUAAUGAAGCAUUUACGGGAGACUGCGGGGCUUACUUGCAGCACGGCUGUGGAUGCUGCCCCUUGUGAGUGUGAUCGCUCGCCAAUGGCAAACAGGAAGCCGCUGCUGUAGGUGAGGACACUUCCAAAGAGAGUCAGGACAUUCAGGUUGGGACUGGACAUCUUCACUAUCCUGAUAAUACAACAUGUGCAAACAUACGCACAAUAGAUCAAUUCAUUCACUUCAUUCAACAUCUCUUUGGUGUUCAUGGAUGUGUCUGACGUUGUGGUCUACCUGUUGUUUUUGAAGCGCAGGGUGAAGAGCAGGAAGCAGAAAGCCAGCAGGAUUCCACCGGAGAGCAGCGUCCACACCACAGCACUUAACACCGGGGACAGAGACCGCCUUGGGAGCUCCACUGCCAUCUGCAAACACACGUGCAAACCCCUUCAAAUCAAGUCUAAAAUAUUACUGUGUAGCUCAUAUACAUGGGCCUUAUUUGAUUGCUUUUGAUGUUCUGAACCCUCAGUUCUGUAAAUGAUAGCCAAGCAAAGAACAACAAACAACAAAAAGAAGCUCACAGGAUUCAAAUAAGUAAACAAACUUUAUUAAAGCAAACAGAGCCACAAACAUCAUGCUGGACCUAUGCUAACAUUUUAUUUGAAAAUGACAAAAUGAUAAUGAGUAGUUGAAAGCAUGCAGGCAACAGGAAGGGAUAAAAAGCCCGAUUUCAGGCGUUGACAGGCAAGAUGAUCAGAGGAGCAGAGUUGACUCCGCCAUGAUUACGUCGAGGGUUAAAGUAGGGGAAAAGUUUUUCAUUGAAUGAGUAUCCAGUGAAUGAGUAGAUGUGUGAAGCAGAAUCCACGUCGUAAAAAGACACUUGCCCCCACUCCAUAUCUACAUACACCCCGAGUCUCUGGGGCUUCGCGACCAGCGGCACACGGGUAGGAGUGCUGCUGAGGGCCCAGUAGCUUUGGUCCUUUCUCAUCCCCAGGGCCCAGAAGCCUGUUUCAGGGUUUAAUGUAUUCCCUCCUUUUCUGUUGAUAGAUUGAAGCCCAACUCCAACAUCCCACUCUGUCUUGCCUUUCACCUGGACCUCAAAGUACAGCCUUCCAGAGGAGAAACCCUCCUUUCCCAAAACACUGACACCGGGAUAAAAUCUCUCUGGGUUGUCGGGGAGGUUCAGUGCUACAUCACUAUGAUGGACCUGUUUUUUGUUUUCAGACAGCAUCAAUUUGGGAUGAGCUGUAUGAGGGUCCAGAGUCACAUCCACAGCACACUGCUGAGCCCUCUGAAAUUCAAUCUCACAUAACCUCUUCACCUCAGCCUUUACUAUCUCCUCCAGCUGACACGCUACUCUCCUGACUGCUCUCCUCACCGUGCCCACAUACACAACACUCUCUACGCAGGUGUCAGACCAGUCUUUGGUUGCUGGCAGUGUGGAUAGAGCUGGAAAGCUCCAGAUAAGGUAGAGGUUGUCUUUGGUGUGGGAGAGCUGCUCCAGCUCAGCGUUUCUCUGUCUCAGCUCAUCGAUCUCCUGCUCCAGUCCCAUGAUAAGUCCCCUGGCCCUGCCUUCAACUUGCUUCUGCUUUGCACCAAUCAGCUCCACCACCUCAGCUUGACCUCUCUGGAGAAAGUGGAGCAGACUGCUGAAGACUUGCAAACUCUCCUCAAUCUCUCUUUCUGUGUUUGCUCUGCUGAGCUCAAUGGUUUGAUUGAUUUCGCUGAUUUUCUCAAGUCGAGCGUGGAUCAUUUCUUCCACCUCUGCAUUUAUCCUUCCAAUGUGAGCUUUCCUGUCUCUGCUCUCAUCCUCUAUAGGUACAGUGUGAUGACCACUGUGGUCUCUCUUAAUGCAGAUCUGGCACACAUACGUCUGGUCAGUUUUACAAAACAGGUGCAGGAGUUUUUCGUGCUUCUUACACACUCUGUUUUGCAUGCUCAUCAUGGGGUUGAUCAGGUGGUGGUUCUUGAAGGUGCCUAGAACAUGAUGGGGCUCCAGGUGAGUCCCACAGAAGGAGGCCAAACAGUCCAGGCACGAUUUAAGAGCCUGGACUCCUUUUCCAACACACACAUCACACAAAACAACAUCUUUAUGGCCUGAAUGUUGGGCCACGUUACUGGCUUCAUUUUCAUCUUUCUUUUUAAAUGACUUCUUGAACCAAGAAGCCACCUCCGAUAUGAAAGUGUUAACUUUGAGCUCAGGCCUCCUGCAGAACUUUUGCUUGCACAUGGGGCAUUGCGACAGAUUAGUGCUCUGCCAGUAUCCUUGUAAGCAGUCCUUGCAGAAGUUGUGCCCACAAGGAGUAGAGACUGGUUGGUUCAACAAAUCCAGACAGAUGGGGCAAAGAAGCUGCUCUUCAGUGAGCACACUGCCAGCAGUAGCCAUAUCUGUUAACACAUCCAGAAAGAAAAGCAGGUGGGAUUUUAUGAAAGAAGUUGGCUCUGGUCCUUGCAUGUUUUUCUUCCCACUAUACUGUCAGGGUUAGAAACAGUUGUGCCUGGUGGGCUGUUUACGUCCACAAAUAGUAACAUAUGCAUGGUGUUACAUUUCAAAGGAUAUUUCACUCUAGCUGAACCGUUUUCAUGUCCACUAAACUCAACAGACAAUAUU